This 428-nucleotide unclassified non-coding RNA is filed under the name Hevea brasiliensis (rubber tree). Lineage: Eukaryota; Viridiplantae; Streptophyta; Magnoliopsida; Malpighiales; Euphorbiaceae. The record is from RNAcentral.
GGUUUUGGAAUUGGCUGGAAAUGCGGCCCGGGACAACAAGAAGAACCGGAUUGUUCCUCGACAUGUGUGUCUGGCGGUGAGGAAUGAUGAGGAGCUUGGGAGAUUGUUGGGUGGGGUUACUAUUGCUCAUGGUGGAGUUUUACCCAGCAUCAACCCUGUCCUGCUGCCGAAGAAGACUGGGAAGGAGGGGGUGGAGCCCAAGAGUCCGAAGAAGGCGGCUAAGUCCCCAAAGAAGGCUUAAAUCUGUGCUCUGGGACUGUUAGCCGUAGAAGUCUUAAAGUUGUGCUCUUAGGCUGUUAGCUGUAGAUAUAUGGGGUGGAUCAGUUGGUCUAUGUAUUGUGGUUUCUGGUAUUUGACUGUAUUCCAUGUUUUUAUGGUUUAGUGUUAAAUUAUGUUUGUCUUGGGUUUUUGAUUGUGUUCAAUUAAAU